GACGAACGCUGGCGGCGUGCUUAACACAUGCAAGUCGAACGGUAAGGCUCCAGCUUGCUGGGGUACACGAGUGGCGAACGGGUGAGUAACACGUGGGUGACCUGCCCUGCACUUCGGGAUAAGCCUGGGAAACUGGGUCUAAUACCGGAUAGGACCGCACCGUGAGGGUGUGGUGGAAAGUUUUUUCGGUGUGGGAUGGGCCCGCGGCCUAUCAGCUUGUUGGUGGGGUAAUGGCCUACCAAGGCGGCGACGGGUAGCCGGCCUGAGAGGGUGGACGGCCACAUUGGGACUGAGACACGGCCCAGACUCCUACGGGAGGCAGCAGUGGGGAAUAUUGCACAAUGGGCGGAAGCCUGAUGCAGCGACGCCGCGUGGGGGAUGACGGCCUUCGGGUUGUAAACUCCUUUCACCAUCGACGAAGGGUUUCUGACGGUAGAUGGAGAAGAAGCACCGGCUAACUACGUGCCAGCAGCCGCGGUAAUACGUAGGGUGCGAGCGUUGUCCGGAAUUACUGGGCGUAAAGAGCUCGUAGGUGGUUUGUCGCGUCGUCUGUGAAAUUCCUGGGCUUAACUCCGGGCGUGCAGGCGAUACGGGCAUAACUUGAGUACUGUAGGGGAGACUGGAAUUCCUGGUGUAGCGGUGAAAUGCGCAGAUAUCAGGAGGAACACCGGUGGCGAAGGCGGGUCUCUGGGCAGUAACUGACGCUGAGGAGCGAAAGCAUGGGGAGCGAACAGGAUUAGAUACCCUGGUAGUCCAUGCCGUAAACGGUGGGCGCUAGGUGUGGGUUUCCUUCCACGGGAUCCGUGCCGUAGCUAACGCAUUAAGCGCCCCGCCUGGGGAGUACGGCCGCAAGGCUAAAACUCAAAGGAAUUGACGGGGGCCCGCACAAGCGGCGGAGCAUGUGGAUUAAUUCGAUGCAACGCGAAGAACCUUACCUGGGCUUGACAUAUACAGGAUCGCGCCAGAGAUGGUGUUUCCCUUGUGGCUUGUAUACAGGUGGUGCAUGGCUGUCGUCAGCUCGUGUCGUGAGAUGUUGGGUUAAGUCCCGCAACGAGCGCAACCCUUGUCUUAUGUUGCCAGCACGUUGUGGUGGGGACUCGUAAGAAACUGCCGGGGUUAACUCGGAGGAAGGUGGGGAUGACGUCAAAUCAUCAUGCCCCUUAUGUCCAGGGCUUCACACAUGCUACAAUGGUCGGUACAGUGGGUUGCCAGUCCGUGAGGGCGAGCUAAUCCCGCAAAGCCGGUCUCAGUUCGGAUCGGGGUCUGCAACUCGACCCCGUGAAGUCGGAGUCGCUAGUAAUCGCAGAUCAGCAACGCUGCGGUGAAUACGUUCCCGGGCCU
Molecule: ribosomal RNA, 1341 nt
Filed under: uncultured bacterium
Lineage: Bacteria
Description: 16S ribosomal RNA
Rfam family: Bacterial small subunit ribosomal RNA
Source: RNAcentral